This 221-nucleotide ribosomal RNA is filed under the name uncultured bacterium. RNAcentral's name for it is "partial 16S ribosomal RNA". It matches the Rfam family "Bacterial small subunit ribosomal RNA", at positions 524 to 744 of the family's 1533-position model. The record is from RNAcentral.
CACGUAGGAGGCAAACGUUAUCCGGAUUUACUGGGCGUAAAGCGCGUGUAGGUGGUUCUGUAAGUAGGGCGUGAAAGCUCCCGGCUCAACUGGGAGAGGCCGUUCUAAACUGCAGAGCUAGAGGAUGGCAGAGGGAGGUGGAAUUCCAGGUGUAGCGGUGGAAUGCGCAGAUAUCUGGAGGAACACCAGUGGCGAAGGCGGCCUCCUGGACCAUUCCUGAC